RNAcentral lists this ribosomal RNA (1384 nucleotides) under uncultured bacterium. Its description in RNAcentral is "16S ribosomal RNA". It matches the Rfam family "Bacterial small subunit ribosomal RNA", at positions 49 to 1399 of the family's 1533-position model. The record is from RNAcentral.
UAACACAUGCAAGUCGGACGGGAACAGUGGAAUAGUUUACUAAUUCACUGUUUUAGUGGCGGACGGGUGAGUAACACGUGGGCAACCUGCCUUAGAGUGGGGGAUAACAGCGAGAAAUCGUUGCUAAUACCGCAUGAAAUUAGAGUUUUGCAUAAAACUCUAAUGAAAGGAAAUAAUCCAAUGGAUUAUUCCGCUUUAAGAUGGGCCCGCGCCUGAUUAGCUAGUUGGUGAGAUAAAAGCUCACCAAGGCGACGAUCAGUAGCCGAUCUGAGAGGAUGACCGGCCACACUGGAACUGAGACACGGUCCAGACUCCUACGGGAGGCAGCAGUGGGGAAUAUUGCGCAAUGGGGGAAACCCUGACGCAGCGACGCCGCGUGAGCGAAGAAGGCCUUAGGGUCGUAAAGCUCUGUUUUAAGGGACGAAUAUCCCUCAGUAGUAACUGACUGGGGAAUGACGGUACCUUAAGAGAAAGCCCCGGCUAACUACGUGCCAGCAGCCGCGGUAAGACGUAGGGGGCGAGCGUUGUCCGGAAUUACUGGGCGUAAAGAGCACGUAGGCGGGAUUUUAAGUCAGGUGUGAAAGACCGUGGCUCAACCACGGGGUUGCACAUGAAACUGGAAUUCUUGAGGGCAGGAGAGGAAAGUGGAAUUCCUGGUGUAGCGGUGAAAUGCGUAGAAAUCAGGAGGAACACCGGUGGCGAAGGCGACUUUCUGGACUGACCCUGACGCUGAGGUGCGAAAGCGUGGGUAGCAAACAGAGAUUAGAUACCCUGGUAGUCCACGCUGUAAACGAUGGGAUACUAGGUGUGGGAGGUAUCGACCCCUUCCGUGCCGCAGCAAACGCAAUAAGUAUCCCGCCUGGGGAGUACGGUCGCAAGGCUGAAACUCAAAGGAAUUGACGGGGGCCCGCACAAGCGGUGGAGCAUGUGGUUUAAUUCGAUGCAACGCGAAGAACCUUACCAGGUCUUGACAUCCAAAGAAUCCUGAUGAAAGUCGGGAGUGCCUUAGGGAGCUUUGAGACAGGUGGUGCAUGGUUGUCGUCAGCUCGUGUCGUGAGAUGUUGGGUUAAGUCCCGCAACGAGCGCAACCCUUGCUAUUAGUUGCUAACAUUCAGUUGAGCACUCUAAUGGGACUGCCCGUGACAAGCGGGGGGAAGGUGGGGAUGACGUCAAAUCAUCAUGCCCUUUAUGAUCUGGGCUACACACGUGCUACAAUGGAUGGUACAGAGAGCAGCGAGACAGUGAUGUGGAGCGAAUCUCAAAAAGCCAUUCUCAGUUCGGAUUGCAGGCUGCAACUCGCCUGCAUGAAGUCGGAAUCGCUAGUAAUCGCGGAUCAGCAUGUCGCGGUGAAUGCGUUCCCGGGCCUUGCACACACCGCCCGUCA